CUUUCUUUAGUUGCUCCACCUUCUCCGUCUUCCCUUUCUUCAAUUGUUCCACCUACAAAAGAAAAUAAAUAAAGUCAUUAAAUAAGAAUGGGUAUGUAGAAUUUUCUCUAAUUGUAACUUUGUAAGUAGAGAAUAGGUUGGUUGCAUCCUCCCUUUCAAUCUUAUAAUUGCAUUAAAGAAGUGAUGCCCGUGCAUUUUUUCAAUUCGCUGCUUCAAUUGCCCAAAAAUUGUUUGUGAUCAGGUCAUCUAGUAUUAUAGGUUGUUGCAUAUCCUGUUCGACUCAAUAAUGUCUGGACCAUUUUCUACCUUGACGGAAGACCUGACAGUGUAUCUACAACAGAUGAUUUAGAUUGAAGUAAUACUUGAGUCUUGACGACUAACAUUUCGAAGUGACCAUUGCUGUAAAAAAGUAGUAAAUGAGUAUGAUAUCAUCUUGUCCUUGAAAGAAAGAUGUUUUUCAGUCUUUCUAAUCUUGUGAAGUAGCUAAAGUUUCCCCCCGAAGUAAUUGUAUAUCGAAUUGAAGACAGACAAUACCUAAGAUAAUAGCCCAAGAGGUAUGCAUGGCAUACAAAGUGAGGCUUCUACAUUAUUGAGGCAAAAGAGGUCUUUCUCUUGAAACCCAAUGAGCCCUUGUCUGUAGCUAUGAGAAUACAGCAAAUGUAACAUAUGAUACCAGUCAAAUUAUUGCAAACAACACAUAAUAUCACAAGAUGUAAAAAGAAAAGAGAGAACAAGUUAGUCUUUCAAGCAUAAACUUUUAGAAAAGUUGUUAAAAUCUUGUUCUUUUUUGGAAAUCGAAAUUAAAGCUUUUUCAAGAUGCAACAUGUGAAUCACCUAAAGAGAAGACAAUUAGGCAAGUGAUGCAUUACCAGGCAUAAAUCCACUUCCAGAAAUAGUUUUAGCUCAGCACUAUUCCUUUUAUCUGUAACUUCUCUCAGUUGAUCAACUUGAAAACAUAUCAUGCAUGUAAGAUCAUUAACAUUGAGUUAAUCACGUGCUACCAUCAUUUAAAUCAUGGUAGAAACCAUGCACUACAGAAGAAUGGCAGAAAAAAUAAUCAUAAUGCCCGCCACAAUUGUCACGCUUCAAAAAAAAAUCACUUUCAAGUGGGCAGACAUGUUGCAAUACUUACCAGAAGGUGGGGAGGAAGGAGUUAAGGGGAUACAAAGAGAUAAGGAGGGAGCAAUGGAGUUGUGGACCAACAAUGAAUGAACCACCAUGAUCGAAAAUAUUGAACAGGUAGAUGCAACACAUUUCGAAUGAAAAACAUACAUUGUCUUCACUAUUAUUGCCAGUUUUUCAAGACCUCAUCACAUUGAUGAUUGAACCAAUUAUCAAACAUAAGGAUGUUGUUGCAUCCGCUAAGGUGGCCUCAAGCAGGUUGAGGAUUUUGUAGUCUGUCCUGAACAUAAAUAAGUUAUGUCAAACACUCAUAAUGGAGAGAUCGUAAAUUUAGCAAAUGAAAGUGAAUCACGAAUUAUAUCAUGCGCACAAAACAAGCAAGAAUAGCUUCUACUGUGCCUCAUUUCAUCCUCAUUGUCUUUAUCUUACAUAAGCAUUCUUUUCCUUAGGAAAGUUUAGCACUAUAAAUCACCGUAAAAACUGCAAGGAAUUUCAAUAAAUGAAUUUAAGUUUACAACAAUUUAAACUUCAAAAGAUCCAAAUGAAGGUUUCAAUCAACCAAAAAGAAAUGACAUGACAGAAUAGCAUGUGUAAGAAUGUCAGGCCCUAUUACCAUACAAGCUCUAAUUAGAGCCAGCAAAAGUAGUAACAUAUGUAAUGCUCUAUACCUCUCCUGAGUUGAUUUAAGUUUUACCUCAGAGACAUUUUUGCACAGGAGUACUGAUAUUUCUUUUGUAGGUUGAUAAUUCUUCAUCUGCUAACUAGGACCUGGAUAAGAAUUAACUUUGCCAUGUAUGCAGAGGAGUCAAUGAAGAGCAAAUGUACCUCUUUUACCAUUAUCAUCAGCUUUAUGCGCAGUGUUGAUAUACUUUAAAGAGGAGUCAAAGUCUGUCCAAAAGAUAAAUGACAGAACACCAUAAAUUUCAUCAUUGGUCUCUGAGUGUUCAAUGUCUUCAGCAGAAGUACUUGUAUGUAUAUAGAGUUGGGAGGUACUCAAAUCCCCAUAAAUAACUCCUAAACACUGAUAAGCCAAUGUGAACACUGUCCUCCAUAAUUGUUUUUGCAACCACAGAAAAUAAACAACACUUGGUUAACUUCAAUUGGUGUUUUGUAGGCGUAGGAUAGAACAAACCAUCUAUUCAGAUACUUUGACCAACAGUAAAUAAUUUAUAAAACCCAGAUGAACAAAACACCAAAAAUCAAAAUAAAUUAGUUGUUGCUAGCUUUGCACGAAAGUUAGCAGAAUUACUUGUAUGUAUAUAGAGUGGGGAGGUACUCAAAUCCCCAUAAAUAACUUCUAAACACUGAUAAGCCAAUGUGAACAUUGUCCUCCAUAAUUCUUU
RNAcentral lists this long non-coding RNA (2465 nucleotides) under Nicotiana benthamiana. RNAcentral describes it as "long non-coding RNA (NBEN_LNC041198)". Lineage: Eukaryota; Viridiplantae; Streptophyta; Magnoliopsida; Solanales; Solanaceae. The record is from RNAcentral.